GGCUUGGAUUACAAACUUUUAAAAGAAUGUUGCUCAAGCAGAUGUGAAAUAGAAGUAUUCAGACAUUUGGAGUUUUGUAGGAAGCAUGUAGCUCACGAUUUUUCUGUCAUUUUUAAAGAUUUGGUGCAGUGCUCAUGAAUAGGUAGAACCUAAUACAGUACUUGAGAGAGGACUCGAAAGCUUACUUGAUAAGGUUAAUUCAGAUACUUAAGCUGGCGAAUAAAGAGGACAUACGGCCACUGAAUCAGACAUCUACAUUGUCUCCACCUGGACAUGAAUCCUGGUUGAUUAAGUCUGAUGAAUCUAUACGUCUCCCAAUACGGUGCAAAGACUUUUUUGUGAACUGGAUACGGUGCAGAGACUUCAUAGAACAGUUAUUGGCCAAAACGAAGUUGUCCUAGCUAUUGGGGGUGAUUGGUUUGGUUGUAACUGUAGAAAAUUUACUGUAAGAUUUAAGCUGUAGAAUUUUUUGAUUUAGCUUUAAGUGAUGUAGAUUUAAAAUAUAUUGCUGCAGCAACAUAUUUCCUACAGCAAAAAUAA
Long non-coding RNA from Raphanus sativus (radish), 540 nucleotides. RefSeq lists it as uncharacterized. The transcript is spliced from 3 exons. Lineage: Eukaryota; Viridiplantae; Streptophyta; Magnoliopsida; Brassicales; Brassicaceae. The record is from RefSeq and is a predicted model, not a curated record.